RNAcentral lists this ribosomal RNA (470 nucleotides) under Priestia megaterium. RNAcentral's name for it is "bacterial SSU rRNA". It matches the Rfam family "Bacterial small subunit ribosomal RNA", at positions 22 to 473 of the family's 1533-position model. Lineage: Bacteria; Bacillati; Bacillota; Bacilli; Caryophanales; Bacillaceae. The record is from RNAcentral.
GCUCAGGAUGAACGCUGGCGGCGUGCCUAAUACAUGCAAGUCGAGCGAACUGAUUAGAAGCUUGCUUCUAUGACGUUAGCGGCGGACGGGUGAGUAACACGUGGGCAACCUGCCUGUAAGACUGGGAUAACUUCGGGAAACCGAAGCUAAUACCGGAUAGGAUCUUCUCCUUCAUGGGAGAUGAUUGAAAGAUGGUUUCGGCUAUCACUUACAGAUGGGCCCGCGGUGCAUUAGCUAGUUGGUGAGGUAACGGCUCACCAAGGCAACGAUGCAUAGCCGACCUGAGAGGGUGAUCGGCCACACUGGGACUGAGACACGGCCCAGACUCCUACGGGAGGCAGCAGUAGGGAAUCUUCCGCAAUGGACGAAAGUCUGACGGAGCAACGCCGCGUGAGUGAUGAAGGCUUUCGGGUCGUAAAACUCUGUUGUUAGGGAAGAACAAGUACGAGAGUAACUGCUCGUACCUUGAC